UUGAACGCUGGCGGCAGGCCUAACACAUGCAGGUCGAGCGGAUGAAGGGAGCUUGCUCCUGGAUUCAGCGGCGGACGGGUGAGUAAUGCCUAGGAAUCUGCCUGGUAGUGGGGGAUAACGUCCGGAAACGGGCGCUAAUACCGCAUACGUCCUGAGGGAGAAAGUGGGGGAUCUUCGGACCUCACGCUAUCAGAUGAGCCUAGGUCGGAUUAGCUAGUUGGUGGGGUAAAGGCCUACCAAGGCGACGAUCCGUAACUGGUCUGAGAGGAUGAUCAAUCACACUGGAACUGAGACACGGUCCAGACUCCUACGGGAGGCAGCAGUGGGGAAUAUUGGACAAUGGGCGAAAGCCUGAUCCAGCCAUGCCGCGUGUGUGAAGAAGGUCUUCGGAUUGUAAAGCACUUUAAGUUGGGAGGAAGGGCAGUAAGUUAAUACCUUGCUGUUUUGACGUUACCAACAGAAUAAGCACCGGCUAACUUCGUG
Molecule: ribosomal RNA, 483 nt
Filed under: uncultured bacterium
Lineage: Bacteria
Description: partial 16S ribosomal RNA
Rfam family: Bacterial small subunit ribosomal RNA
Source: RNAcentral